Molecule: ribosomal RNA, 497 nt
Filed under: uncultured bacterium
Lineage: Bacteria
Description: partial 16S ribosomal RNA
Rfam family: Bacterial small subunit ribosomal RNA
Source: RNAcentral
GAUGGACGCUGGCGGCGUGCCUAAUACAUGCGAGUCGAGCGAACAGACGAGGAGCUUGCUCCUCUGACGUUAGCGGCGGACGGGUGAGUAACACGUGGAUAACCUACCUAUAAGACUGGGAUAACUUCGGGAAACCGGGGCUAAUACCGGAUAAUAUAUUGAACCGCAUGGUUCAAUAGUGAAAGACGGUUUUGCUGUCACUUAUAGAUGGAUCCGCGCCGCAUUAGCUAGUUGGUAAGGUAACGGCUUACCAAGGCAACGAUGCGUAGCCGACCUGAGAGGGUGAUCGGCCACACUGGAACUGAGACACGGUCCAGACUCCUACGGGAGGCAGCAGUAGGGAAUCUUCCGCAAUGGGCGAAAGCCUGACGGAGCAACGCCGCGUGAGUGAUGAAGGUCUUCGGAUCGUAAAACUCUGUUAUUAGGGAAGAACAAAUGUGUAAGUAACUAUGCACGUCUUGACGGUACCUAAUCAGAAAGCCACGGCUAACUACGUG